GAAAUGCGAUAAGUAAUGUGAAUUGCAGAAUUCAGUGAAUCAUCGAAUCUUUGAACGCACCUUGCUCUCCUUGGUAUUCCUUGGAGCAUGCCUGUUUUAGUAUCAUGAAAUCUUCAAAGUAAAUCUUUUGUUAACUCAAUUGGUUUCUACUUUGGUAUUGGAGGUCUUUGCAGCUUCACACCUGCUCCUCUUUGUUCAUUAGCUGGAUCUCAGUGUUAUGCUUGGUUCCACUCGGCGUGAUAAGUUAUCUAUCGCUGAGGACACUGUAAAAGGUGGCCAAGGUAAAUGCAGAUGAACCGCUUCUAAUAGUCCAUUGACUUGGACAAUACUUUUAUGAUCUGAUCUCAAAUCAGGUAGGACUACCCGCUGAACUUAAGC
Molecule: unclassified non-coding RNA, 378 nt
Filed under: plant metagenome
Description: partial contains 5.8S ribosomal RNA, internal transcribed spacer 2, and large subunit ribosomal RNA
Rfam family: 5.8S ribosomal RNA (bases 1-105)
Source: RNAcentral